This 641-nucleotide long non-coding RNA is filed under the name Linum usitatissimum (flax). RNAcentral describes it as "long non-coding RNA (LUSI_LNC001950)". The record is from RNAcentral. Lineage: Eukaryota; Viridiplantae; Streptophyta; Magnoliopsida; Malpighiales; Linaceae.
UCUGUGUGGGAUGACCCACUUGCUCAACGGAUGGACGUAUGGCCCUCACAGUUUCCAUCUCAUGGUUGCUGUCACAGUCUUCAAGAUCCUAACCGCUUUGGUCUCCUCUGCCACCGCUAUCACUCUCUUCAGCUUGAUCCCUUUGCUUCUCAAGGUCAAAGUGAGGGAAUUCAUGUUAAAGAAGAAAACUUGGGAUCUGGGUAGGGAAGUUGGAAUGAUUAUGAAGCAAAGAGAAGCUGGAUUGCAUGUUCGAAUGCUUACUCAGGAGAUUAGGAAAUCGCUUGACAGGCACACCAUAUUGUACACGACACUUGUUGAGCUGUCCAAGACGCUUGGUUUGCAGAAUUGUGCUGUUUGGAUGCCUAAUGAGAUUAGGACUCAGAUGCACUUGACUCAUGAGCUCCACGGGGGACAUUACUCCGACAUGGAUAGCUGUUCGAUACCGACAUCUGAUCCUGAUGUUGCGACGAUCAAGGGCAGCGAUAGUGUGAACAUCCUCGGUUUCGAUUCGCCUUUAGCUUCCGCGAGCUAUGGCGAGUCUGGUGAGCCGGGUCCGGUGGCUGCGAUCCGAAUGCCUAUGCUUCGUGUUUGCAAUUUCAAAGGUGGAACCCCUGAAAUGAUCCAGGCGUGCUAUGCGAUAC